GAUGAACGCUGGCGGCGUGCCUAAUACAUGCAAGUCGAGCGAACAGAUGAGGAGCUUGCUCCUCUGACGUUAGCGGCGGACGGGUGAGUAACACGUGGAUAACCUACCUAUAAGACUGGGAUAACUUCGGGAAACCGGAGCUAAUACCGGAUAAUAUAUUGAACCGCAUGGUUCAAUAGUGAAAGACGGUUUUGCUGUCACUUAUAGAUGGAUCCGCGCCGCAUUAGCUAGUUGGUAAGGUAACGGCUUAGCAAGGCAACGAUGCGUAGCCGACCUGAGAGGGUGAUCGGCCACACUGGAACUGAGACACGGUCCAGACUCCUACGGGAGGCAGCAGUAGGGAAUCUUCCGCAAUGGGCGAAAGCCUGACGGAGCAACGCCGCGUGAGUGAUGAAGGUCUUCGGAUCGUAAAACUCUGUUAUUAGGGAAGAACAAAUGUGUAAGUAACUAUGCACGUCUUGACGGUACCUAAUCAGAAAGCCACGGCUAACUACGUG
This 497-nucleotide ribosomal RNA is filed under the name uncultured bacterium. RNAcentral's name for it is "partial 16S ribosomal RNA". It matches the Rfam family "Bacterial small subunit ribosomal RNA", at positions 28 to 507 of the family's 1533-position model. The record is from RNAcentral.